This 496-nucleotide ribosomal RNA is filed under the name uncultured bacterium. RNAcentral describes it as "partial 16S ribosomal RNA". It matches the Rfam family "Bacterial small subunit ribosomal RNA", at positions 29 to 507 of the family's 1533-position model. The record is from RNAcentral.
AUGCACGCUGGCGGCGUGCCUAAUCCCUGCCAGUCGAGCGAACAGACGAGGAGCUUGCUCCUCUGACGUUAGCGGCGGACGGGUGAGUAACACGUGGAUAACCUACCUAUAAGACUGGGAUAACUUCGGGAAACCGGAGCUAAUACCGGAUAAUAUAUUGAACCGCAUGGUUCAAUAGUGAAAGACGGUUUUGCUGUCACUUAUAGAUGGAUCCGCGCCGCAUUAGCUAGUUGGUAAGGUAACGGCUUACCAAGGCAACGAUGCGUAGCCGACCUGAGAGGGUGAUCGGCCACACUGGAACUGAGACACGGUCCAGACUCCUACGGGAGGCAGCAGUAGGGAAUCUUCCGCAAUGGGCGAAAGCCUGACGGAGCAACGCCGCGUGAGUGAUGAAGGUCUUCGGAUCGUAAAACUCUGUUAUUAGGGAAGAACAAAUGUGUAAGUAGCUAUGCACGUCUUGACGGUACCUAAUCAGAAAGCCACGGCUAACUACGUG